GGGAAAACCACUUAAAGCAUGACAGACACUUCUGGAAUGGAAAUUUCCUCCACUCCAUUCCAACACUGAUCCUCAACCGUGCCCCCAUGGCAAACCCGACAACCCAGUUCUGGCUGACUUUUCAGCUAAUAGGCUCUUUAGCAUCUCAUCAUCACUUCAACAUCACCGAGUUCUGUAAAAAGCUUAAGAGGAGGCAAUCUUGGCCACUCCAAAAUUUUGAAAGAGAAACCACCAAGAAAAACACCUGCAAGCACACAUCUCAGAACAGAUUGGUGUAUCAUGGACAAAAGGAUGGAAAAAAUAACCAGAAUGUGUAAAAAGAUCAUACAUAAGUCUCUGGUGAACAAACCCAUUAACUCAGCUCAACAGACAACAGAAGAAAAGAACAGAGACUGCAGGAAAAGAGCACUUUCCUGCUCCUUGCCUGUGUUGUCAUUGCAGAAGCCCAGCAAGUGGGUCAGAGAGCGCACGGAGAAUCCACUGGGCUGCUGACGGCGUGAGGCAAGUAAUCUGCUCACCAAGGGCAGAGCUGCUGGUGCAGGAGAUAAUUAAACACUGGCUAGUGCUUUUUUCUCAAUGCACUUGGGAAGGAGAUUUUAAAAAGGCUUGGAAUUAAAUCCUAGGCUGCA
This is a long non-coding RNA of Gallus gallus (chicken), 629 nucleotides long. RefSeq lists it as uncharacterized. The record is from RefSeq and is a predicted model, not a curated record. Lineage: Eukaryota; Metazoa; Chordata; Aves; Galliformes; Phasianidae. The transcript has 4 exons.